This 253-nucleotide ribosomal RNA is filed under the name uncultured bacterium. RNAcentral describes it as "partial 16S ribosomal RNA". It matches the Rfam family "Bacterial small subunit ribosomal RNA", at positions 524 to 776 of the family's 1533-position model. The record is from RNAcentral.
UACAGAGGUCCCAAGCGUUGUUCGGAUUCACUGGGCGUAAAGGGUGCGUAGGCGGUCGGGUAAGUCUGACGUGAAAUCUUCAAGCUUAACUUGGAAACUGCGUCGGAUACUAUUCGGCUUGAGGAGUGGAGGGGAGACUGGAAUACUUGGUGUAGCAGUGAAAUGCGUAGAUAUCAAGUGGAACACCAGUGGCGAAGGCGAGUCUCUGGACAUUUCCUGACGCUGAGGCACGAAAGCCAGGGGAGCAAACGGG